Molecule: ribosomal RNA, 200 nt
Filed under: uncultured bacterium
Lineage: Bacteria
Description: partial 16S ribosomal RNA
Rfam family: Bacterial small subunit ribosomal RNA
Source: RNAcentral
AGAGUUUGAUCAUGGCUCAGGACGAACGCUGGCGGCGUGCUUAACACAUGCAAGUCGAGUGCGUGUUCGUAGCAAUACGGAUGACGCACGGCGCACGGGUGCGUAACACGUGGGCAAUCUGCCCUCGGAUGGGGGAUAACCCGCCGAAAGGCGGGCUAAUACCGCAUGAAAUUCUGGGGACCCCGGUCCCUGGACUCAAA